This 663-nucleotide ribosomal RNA is filed under the name Salmonella enterica. RNAcentral's name for it is "partial 23S ribosomal RNA". It matches the Rfam family "Bacterial large subunit ribosomal RNA", at positions 527 to 1191 of the family's 2925-position model. The record is from RNAcentral. Lineage: Bacteria; Pseudomonadati; Pseudomonadota; Gammaproteobacteria; Enterobacterales; Enterobacteriaceae.
CGGCGAGGGGAGUGAAAAAGAACCUGAAACCGUGUACGUACAAGCAGUGGGAGCACCCUUUGGGGUGUGACUGCGUACCUUUUGUAUAAUGGGUCAGCGACUUAUAUUCUGUAGCAAGGUUAACCGAAUAGGGGAGCCGGAGGGAAACCGAGUCUUAAUUGGGCGUUAAGUUGCAGGGUAUAGACCCGAAACCCGGUGAUCUAGCCAUGGGCAGGUUGAAGGUUGGGUAACACUAACUGGAGGACCGAACCGACUAAUGUUGAAAAAUUAGCGGAUGACCUGUGGCUGGGGGUGAAAGGCCAAUCAAACCGGGAGAUAGCUGGUUCUCCCCGAAAGCUAUUUAGGUAGCGCCUCGUGAAUUCAUCUCCGGGGGUAGAGCACUGUUUCGGCUAGGGGGCCAUCCCGGCUUACCAACCCGAUGCAAACUGCGAAUACCGGAGAAUGUUAUCACGGGAGACACACGGCGGGUGCUAACGUCCGUCGUGAAGAGGGAAACAACCCAGACCGCCAGCUAAGGUCCCAAAGUCAUGGUUAAGUGGGAAACGAUGUGGGAAGGCCCAGACAGCCAGGAUGUUGGCUUAGAAGCAGCCAUCAUUUAAAGAAAGCGUAAUAGCUCACUGGUCGAGUCGGCCUGCGCGGAAGAUGUAACGGGGCUAAACCAUG